AUAGUAUUCCCUCGUACGGAUAGACCACAUUUUGCUUAUCCAUUCAUCUGUUGAUGGACAUCGGGAUUGUUAACAAAUAACAUGCCAAGUGGGAACUCAAGGUGAGCAGGGUCCCUGCCUGUCGCUGGGUCAGAACAGCAGGCUCUGAGGCCAGACCCUUGGGCUGGAAUCCCUUGGUUUCCCAUCUGUCUAAUGGGGGGAUGUCUACCUCUGAGGGUUGUGAUGGGGCUUUAAAAAGUGAACACACGUGAAAGACUUAGAAAGGUGCUUGGCACAGAGUAAGUGUUGUUGAAGAAUGGAGUCAAUAAAGGACAGCAAUUACACGGUGCGAUUAAUGCUGGGAAAGAAGGAAACAGGCGCUGACAAAGGCUGUGGGUGAGACAGGAGAGGAUGCUUAGACGAGGCAGCCACGGAAGGCCUGCGUCAGUCUUCAUUCAAGGCCCAAAUGAUGGGGAGGAACCAAAUGGAGGAAGUGUGAGGGGACCAGGGCUCCUGGCAGGGAAGACAGCAAACGCAAAGACGCAGAAGGAACACGCCAGCAGCAGCCAGGGCGACGCUGUCCAACAGGGAGAGCGUGUCGGCCGGGAAUGUGGGCUGCGGACGUAAUCUUAAAUUUUCUAGCAACUACGUUAAAGAAAGUCAAAAGAAACAGGUAAAAUUAAUUUUAAGAAUAUAUCGUAGUUCAUCUAAUAUAUCCAAAAUGUGAUCAAUAUAAAAACUGUUGAGGGGAUAUUCUGCAUUCUCUUUUUUCAUUCCAAGACUUCGAAAUGCAGAGUGUAUUCACACGCACGGCACAUCUCGGUUUGGACUGGCCAUAUUCAAGUGCUCAACAGCCACGUCAGGGAGUGGCCACCGACCUGGACAGGGCAGAGAAAGGACCUGUCAGAAGGCGAGCAGGGCGAGACUGCUGGGACCAGCGGGAGAGGAUGUGGUUUGCAUUUUAAACAGCUUGAGGAGGCUGCUGGAUGAGAACUGACUCUGGGGAGACAAGAGUAGAGGCAGGGGGACAACUUGGGAGGCAAGGGAUGAUGGUGGCCUUGGAUGUCGGAUGUUGACAGUGACAUGGAAGGGCUGACCGUUCCCAUCUCACCGUGUAACUCGUUGAGUAACUAAAAUGACCUUAUUAAGGUACCAGAUGGUUCGUGCAUGCAAGAUACUACUGUUGUUGCCACCCUGAAUGCUUUCGAUAUUAGGGACCAUGUUCUGUUUCCUUCACCCCUCUAUCCUUAGUGCCUGGCCCAGGGCUCAAUGAACCAUCCCCUGAUUCUGGCCCCACAGCCAUCUGGAGGCCGUGCAUGUCGAAGCAGGUGGCACAAGCUUCUCUAUAUGGUCUGCCGUUCUGCUGCCUGAGCAUUGCAGCCUGGCUUAUUAAUACUGAAACACUAGAGGGGCCUCUCCCUCGCCUUAAUCCACUGUUGCAUCAGUUCAAUGACAUGUUUUGGCAAGAACUCCAUGUCAAGAAGGGCAUGGGUGUGGAUGCCUCUGUCUACGAUCAGCUCCAGAAGGCGCUGGGACGCCCUCUUCCCCGCUCCCCCAAAUCACUUCUUCUCCAUCUGAGGUCGCUGUGGGAAGAGAUCACUUCCAAGGAGUGCAAUAUGUCCCACUCCAGGCCCCAGGCCAUCAUGAGCUUUCUGUACGUUACUAUGGAGAUGGGAUGUCAGGUCCCCACGGAGACGGGACAAUCUAGAGUUCCUGGGGGAAUGAGUGGUACGGGCUGAGGGCCUGAGAGACCCGGACCAGCCAGAGUGGGGAUUUCAGGGCUCUAAGUGGGCUGACAAGGAAACGGCAUGAGGCCAAAAGAGGAAGAAGCAGCUGAGAUCAACUGCUGGGAACAUGCAUAAGCGAGGGCAGCAUCCUUGGGCGUUUCAGGAAUAACAGACAGCCAGACUCACUGUCAAGCACAAAUGUGGGCCGGGAGAGAGGUCGGCGGCUGCCUCAAAGCUCACAGCCUGCUGUGAGGACCCAACAUGCCUUCCCAGGAGCGCUGAGGCCCCGUGAUUCCUCUUACUGAGACGCAGCUGAAAUCGGAAGUCACUACAGGAGGAAAACUUAUGCGAGGGGAAACUCCGGAUGUCCCCUAAACCCACCUCCGUCUCAUUAACGCCCCAUAGAACUCCACUGUCUGGAUGGACUUCGCUUUGAGGAGCAUUGGUGUGGUUUCAAGCUUUCCCCCCAUAAUAAACAAUGCUGCAAUUAACAUCAACGUGCAAAAAAAGAUGGACAAGUCUAUCUGUAAGAUAAUUUCUUAGAAGCGGAAUUCCUAGACCAGAGGGUUUAAUCACUUAUCACGUUGGUAAAUACAGUCAUGAGUUGCAUAGUGACAUUUUGGUCAACGACAGACCACAUAAAUGACAGUGGUCCCGUUAGAUGAGCACCAUGUAGCCUAGCUGUGUAGUGGGCUGUACCAUCUAGGUUUGUGCAAGGGCGCUCUACGAUGUUCGCACAACGACAGAAUCGCCUAAUGAUGCCUUUCUCAGACUGUGUCCUUGCCAUUAAGUGACGCAUGGCUGUCCCAUCACACUGACAGCAUAGCAGAAUGCCUGCUUCCCCUCUCCCUUGCCAAUGUUAGGUUUUAUCAACUUUUUUGAUCUUUGCCAGUCUGACAGGUGAAAAAAAUGCUAUGUCCUUGUUGUCUCAUUUUGCACAGAUUUCAUUGUAAACGAAGUCUAUUGAUGGGUCUGUUCAUAUUCUGUUUGUUCAUAUCCUUUAAGCAUUCUCUCUUGCUUGAGUUCCCCACCUCUGGAGCUGGCAGACUACGGCCAAGGGCGCAAUUGCACGCUGCCCAUUUUGUGCCACUGCCCAGAUCCAGCCACACGCAUUCCUGUCUGCAGCUGCCUUCGAGCUACAUGGACAGCGCUGAGCAGUUUCGACAGUAAAAAGAUUUACUAUCUGGACCUUUGCAGAAAAAGUUUGCUGACGCCUGACUCGAGUUGAUUUCUGGAUAUGAGUUCUUUGUAAAUUAAGCAAACAGUCUUUGUCAUAUAUAGUCUGUUUUGCAUUGAACUUAUCACUCUGUUCUGCUUCCUGCCCCCAGUUCAGCAAACACAAUCAGGUCACAAGUAACACUUUAAAAGCAGAGCCCCCUGAACACUUUAAUGUACACAGUGCAUCUGGAAACACUCUGGUCCACAAUAUUUUAGGGGUGGCAUGUUCAUACCCAUUUUACACAUCUGGUAACUGAGGCUCAGAGCCAUGGGUGACCUUCCUGAGGUCACACAGCUAGCAGGCGGCAGAGCCAGGAUCCACACCCUUGUCUGCCUGGCUCCAAGUCCAUAGAUCUUUCCACUUGAGCAUCCUGCCUCUUAAUGCACAGGACCAGCACCAGGGGCUGGCGGUAAAAAGCAAAGUCUGACAGCUGUUGCCUGUGGCACCACAAGGAUCCGUGAGGUGUGUGGGACAGAGCACGGGGGAGCCCCCGCUGUGUCACUGUCAUACUUGUGUAUAAAGACUGCACAUUCCUGAGUCGGAGUGGGGGCAGGAAAGAAGGUUACACCUUCGAAACAGAAACCACAUGGUGUGGACGGAGCCCUCCUUUGGGGUAUGGAGUGUGCACGCCCCUCCCUCUGGCUUACCCACUUGUGAGGAGCAUUGCCUACUGUGGAAUGGCCCCCCAACGGAGCGGGGAGGACCAGAGAACAGUGACGUAACAGAUGUGCUCACCCACGGGGCGGGAGCAGGGAAGAUAGCGUGUGAGCCUGAGGCAGCCGGAAGCGAGAACUUGUAUUACCCCCUGGCACCGGUCCACGGACACCCGUUACACAAAUUUGACAGCGACCAUUACAAUCUCGGAACCCUGAACAAAUUACACCAACAAGGUUACCAUCCUGAAGAGUCCCCCCAUUAAAACCACUGACCCACAGAGCAAGAGUCGCUCAAGGAGAGUUUAGGAGACGACGUACGGGGCAUGUUUUUUGUAAGGCUUAACGCGCACUAGCCGUGUUCUUCUCCAGCUGCCAUCUGGGAACCUGCCGGCAAAGUUUCCUUCAGCAGAAAAGCGUUUUUAAGGGGCUUCCUCGAAAGUUGUCUUUUCCUUUUCUUUCUGUUCCCAUAUUUAAGUCAAUUCAAAUAUUUACUUUCUAGACCAAUCAGAUAAUGCGGCAUAUCUACAGGGUGGAUUUCCUUCAGUUGUCACAGUUGCCCUGGAAAAUGGGAGUGCAGACCAAGAAACUAAGUAAGAGAGUCCACCCAGCUGGGGUUGGUGGGUAAGCCGGCAUUCCAGCCCUGGCUCUGGAUGUCAACGUCCAACCUCUUAUCCUCCCCAGAUCUUGGGAGUAACAGCAAAGUGAACAGUAUGUCACAUCUCGUGUCUCUUCAUUUUACGCUUGGUGUAACUGGCAAUCCUGAAAAUAAUCAGUAUUAAUAUCCUGAUCUCGCUGGAGAGAAAUGACCUUCAGAGAGCUGAAGUGACCACACUUCUGUCCAAGGUCUCAGGGUGACCACAGAAGAGUAGUUGUGACCGGAACCCAUGUCUGGGGCCACAGCGUGACCCUCCUUCCCACACGGCCACAGACCCAAAAGGUGGUUGCCUUCUUCCCUUGAUCUUGAUCUGACUUUUUUUUUUUAACCCAAGUUUCACAGAGCUGGUUUUGCAAAACAACAGCUGUCACGCUCUGGGUCAUGGUGAUCAUUUGGGAAUUCUGGCCCACAUGGGACCUAACCCUCGUCUCGAUUACCAGGAGACGCCGUCUUCAUGGCCCGGUGCAGGGGAAAGGCAAGAGAGAAGGGACGGCAGUUUUAAACGGACAUGAGGAGAUUCCAGUUAUCAGCAUCUGACACUCCUUUUUUUCAUCACAGUCACCUGAACGGCAGCCCUCGAUCUGGCCUUUCAUGCACGACGUGCUCCAAGGAGCCACAGCCACAGAAGCACCCUCAUUCUCCUCCACCCCCUCACCCUGCCACCACCAAACCAGACACCCAGCCCUUCAGUCCCGGAAGCAAGUCUCGCAUCAGAAGGGCGAAGAAACACUGUGUAAGAAAGUAGAGAAGGACGUCAGGAGGUUGCCCUUCCAGCACAACUCAGCCUGGAACCUUCUAGUAAUCCCUGGGCCCUCUGAGUCCCACCAUCUCCCCACUCGCCUCCCGCCAUCCUCCCUUGCCUCAACUCUUGCUCGUCUCGUUUGAGUCUCAGCCACAGUCGGAUCACGACAUACAUACGCUGUACAUGUGACCCACUUAGGGCACGGACAUCGGGGUCUCACAUUCCUUCUAUGUGUCCCGCACGAUGCCCAGUAUAGCAUCCCCCAGACAGGGCCCACUGAUUGAUUCAAACAAGGCCCAUCAUCUUUAGAAGAAGAGUUAGGUUUACAGGUCCUUUUAAAAGACCACAGAAAGAAUGAACGGGCAAACACAAUGUGGUCCAUCCAGACAAUGGGAUAUGAUUCAGCCUCACAAAGGAAGGAAAUUCUGACACAUCUCCAACAUGGAUGAAUCUUGAGGACAUUACGCUAAGUGAAAUAAGCCAGACAUAAAAAGAAACACAGUGUGAGUCCAUUUACGGGCGGUAGCUAAAGCAGGCGGACUCACAGAGACAGAGUGUACAAUGGUGGGUGGGGGGUGGGGGUGGGGAGUUGGUGUUUAAUGGGGACACAGAGUUUCCGCUUGGGGAGGUGAAAAUGUUCUGGAGAUGGAUAGUGUACAGCAAUGUGAAUAUUCUUAAUGCCCCUGGACGGUACGCUUAAAAAUGGUAAAUUUUGUGUUAUAUGUAUUUUACCAUAAUUUUCGAAAAGUCACAUCAAGGAUCAUUGAUGCACAGAUUCGAGACCAGACUGGUGGGGAGACCACCUUCCCUUCUGAUAUGGAGGGGCAUCUCCAAACCAUUUCGCCAGGAUGUGACAAGGCUGAGCCUGAGGCUAUCUUUGGCCUCAAAGCGCCCCCUGGCCCACCUGGGACCCAUCAUUUCCUUACAGCUGCCGGGAGGGUGUAGGGGUGGAGAGCAGCAGAGAUUCAGGGAAAGGACAGAAGUGCAGCGCUGGAGCUGAAACCCCGUCCUCCCGGGCGCACAGGGUUUCCAGCACACAUUACGGAGGAGGCGCUCAGUAGCUGUUGAGUGACUGACCGUUUUUUCCCUUUCUGGUAGCUUGGUAACCUUGCACCUUCAAGAGGAGUCACAAAUGGCAGGAGAAACUUUUUCCAACUACAAAUGAGAGGCGUUGGGAACAGGCUGGACACACAGGUGCACCGAAGGGCACCCUGCCGGGCCACUGCCCCCGACCCCCCACUCACCCCUUUCCUCUCUGAGGGGCGCGGGGACCCUGCCAGAGGGAGCCACUUAGAGACGGACGAACCGAGAGAAACACGGAGAGAGAUAAGGGAGGUGGAAAGUGGAAGAAAGAAAAAGUCCGCCCGACCCGGACCCAGAGAACCUGCCAGAACGCAGGUGAGGCCCUGGGAAGGGUUGCCCCCUUUUGGGUUCGCCAGGCUCUGAGUGGGAGGUUUGGGCAGCCGUCCCUUUAGAGGAAUUGGCCACGUUCUGGAGAUCUUCCAGACCGUGUCACUGCGAUUUAGGGGGGAGGCUUUGCCCACAAAGGAGGGGGAAGCAAGGGACUUGGGGGGCGUCGGCACCCCCAGGCCUCUUUCCUCCCUCAGCCUUUGUUCUGGAAGCUUCCUGGGGCUUGCCUGGCUGUCAGCAUCCUCCACCGGCCUCCCACACCCCUCCUGGACACUUCAUGGUGACAGUCCAGCGGGACCCUCCUCACCCCACUGCCUCGGCCCCCACACCCGCCCCCGAGUAGUGUUCUCAGAGGCCUGGCGAAGCACCCUUCUAGGGAACGUACCCUCCUGUUUCGUGUUUUAAGUUCUCUGAGAAAAGUUCCUUGAGCUCCCGGAGGCAAAGCCAUUCGAUAAAUUAAACCACCAAGCAAGAGGAUAAAUAAAUAAUGGCGCUGCGGUCCACGCGCAGGAGCAUUUGAAGUCCCGGCAAUUUGGAGGAGCGAGGACGUACCGAUGCCCACGGGCCAGGCAUUAAGGAAGACACAAGUUUGCUUUCUGCAAAGCGUGUUCAAAAAUGCAAACAAGAACCGCAAAGAGAGAAGGUUCCCAUAAUAAAUACCAAGGGCCCCAGCAUCCAGGUCCUGAGAGCCCCAUGACUCCUCCGACCCGGGAGGAAUUUCCUUUGCGCUCGGUGAAACCUGGAAAGUGGGGGUUUAACCGAGCGCUCUGGGUUCCCUCAUGCAGGAUCUGAAGGGUGGGUUUGCCCUAAAACAGCAUCAAAACUCAUUAUGGAGAUAGAAGUACAGUUAAGUGCACAAACUCUGCAAAAGCUUGAUGAAUUUUCACAAAACCAGCACACUCAUGUGACCCACACCCGAGUCAAAGCAUAGAACUUUGUCUGAACCCCAGAACUCCCCUUGAUACUCCUUUCUAGUCCCCCCACCCCCAACCCAAGGAUAGUCACAAUCUGACCUCUAACAGCAUAGAUCUGUUUUGCCUGAUUUCUUGCCUAUAAAGUUCAAAAACUUUAUACAAAUGGAGCCAUACGUAGAUUCUCUUUUGGGUCUGGAUUCUUUCACCCAAUAUGUUUCUUCAGCUUUAGUGAUGGGGUUACAAGCAGGUAUAGUUAGUUCAUUGACGACACGUGUCCUUUUCUCCCCAAGACCUUAGUAGAAUGUUUAGACAUCCAGAAGAGUUAGAAGGGUUGUACAGUGAACACCCAUAUAUCACACCACGUAAUUCUACAAUGAACAUUUUGCUCUAUUUGCUUCGUCACACAUCUAUCCAUCUAUCCCUCUGGCCAUCAACCCUUCUCAUUUCUUUUUUUUGUCUUUGGAUGCAUUUCUAAAUAAGUCGAAGACAUCAACAUACUUCACCUUGAAAUACUUCAUCAUGCCUAUCAUUACCUAGAGAGUUUUUUUAGGUAAAAUUUACAUCCCGAUUUUAACUAUAUCAUGCAAUGAGUUUUGACAAAUGUAUACACUUUGUAACCAAAAUCCCUGUGAAGAUAUAGAACUCUGUGUUCCAACAUGGCAACCACAAACCGCACUUGGCUUUUGAAUGCUUGCCAUGUGGCUGGUGUGAAUGAGGAACCAACUUUUAAAUUCCAUUUAAUUCGAAUUAAAAUCUAAAACUGAUACUUGAUUCUGUUAUUGGAAAACUUUUAAGUAUGUGGAGAGCAAUUUGAGUACAUUAAUCUACUUUUGCAACUGUAAAUUUUACAAAUAGAGGUCAAGCGUUUGCAAGGAAAAUUUGGUGUCCGAAUUGAGGUGCUGUAAGACACAGUAUGUAAAAAAGAAUGCAAAACAUGUCAUUCAUAAUUUUGGUAUUAAUUGCAUGUUGAAAUAAUAUUCCAGAUAUGUUGGGUUAAAUAAAAUAAAUUAUCAAAAUGAA
Molecule: non-coding RNA, 8322 nt
Organism: Equus caballus (horse)
Lineage: Eukaryota; Metazoa; Chordata; Mammalia; Perissodactyla; Equidae
Source: RefSeq, a predicted model, not a curated record